UACGAAGGGUGCAAGCGUUAAUCGGAAUUACUGGGCGUAAAGGGUGCGUAGGCGGUUCGUUAAGUCUGUUGUGAAAUCCCCGGGCUCAACCUGGGAAUGGCAAUGGAUACUGGCGGGCUAGAGUGUGUCAGAGGAUGGUGGAAUUCCCGGUGUAGCGGUGAAAUGCGUAGAUAUCUGGAGGAACACCGGUGGCGAAGGCGGCAUCCUGGACCGGCAUUGACGCUGAGGCGCGAAAGCCAGGGGAGCAAACGGG
Molecule: ribosomal RNA, 253 nt
Filed under: uncultured bacterium
Lineage: Bacteria
Description: partial 16S ribosomal RNA
Rfam family: Bacterial small subunit ribosomal RNA
Source: RNAcentral